UUUUUUUUUUUACUUCAAUGGUUUAUUUGCGCGUUAGGCCCUUCCACAUUUUUCAAUUGUUUUAAUUCAGUUUUUUUUAUUUUUCAAUUGAUACUUUAAAUUUUAUUUCGUUUCCGAUUUAGUCUUAGUAAAACGGCGUGUUUUAGUGGACGGGGAUAUUUUCCCAUUUGGUCCCUCUGAGUUAUUCGCACCUUUGAAUUGGGUCCUG
Molecule: long non-coding RNA, 208 nt
Filed under: Gossypium raimondii (Peruvian cotton)
Lineage: Eukaryota; Viridiplantae; Streptophyta; Magnoliopsida; Malvales; Malvaceae
Description: long non-coding RNA (GRAI_LNC001614)
Source: RNAcentral